RNAcentral lists this ribosomal RNA (465 nucleotides) under uncultured bacterium. RNAcentral's name for it is "partial 16S ribosomal RNA". It matches the Rfam family "Bacterial small subunit ribosomal RNA", at positions 28 to 507 of the family's 1533-position model. The record is from RNAcentral.
GACGAACGCUGGCGGCGUGCUUAACACAUGCAAGUCGAACGGAAAGGCCCUGCUUGCAGGGUACUCGAGUGGCGAACGGGUGAGUAACACGUGGGUGAUCUGCCCUGCACUUCGGGAUAAGCCUGGGCAACUGGGUCUAAUACCGGAUAGGAGCCAUUUUUAGUGUGAUGGUUGGAAAGUUUUUUCGGUGUUGGAUGAGCUGGCGGCCUAUCGGCUUGUUGGAGCGGUUAUGGCCUACCAAGGCGGCGACGGGUAGCCGGCCUGAGUGGGUGGACGGCGACACUGGGACUGAGAGAAGGCACAGAUUGCGACGGGAGGCAGAAGGGGGGAAUAUUGCACGAUGGGCGCAAGCCGGAUGCAGCGACGCCGCGGGGGGGAUGACGGCCUUCGGGUUGUAAACUCCUUUCGCUAGGGACGAAGCUUUUUGUGACGGUACCUAGAUAAGAAGCACCGGCUAACUACGUG